CUACUCCAAUAGCUAGAGAGCUUUUUAAGAUGAUAGAAGCACAGUAAUUUGCUAGUUGAAAUUUGGAAUGGAGAGGUUGGAAGCCUAGAGUUAACAUUUGGCCUCUUAAACUGGGAUGACUGCUUUGGAAAGCUUGUCACACAGGCCAGAAAUACUGAAAGAAAGACAAAUGAGGAUUUUGCAUUGCCCUAGAUUUUUCCCACAGAAUAAUCUAAAAGGUCACUGACUUUCUUUAUUUGAGUUUAUCUCUGUUCUGUAUUUAAAUGACAGGGAAAUCAUGUGGUAGUGUCUAAUCACCUUCUAUUCCUUCCCCAAAUUAAUUUUUCUAAGAAGCUUAGAUUGUUUGCCUCCCUGUCAGUACACACAUGCAAGCACAUGAGUUUUAGUGGCACUGCACAUUAUUCAAGUAUCUUCUUUGUGAAGGAAUGCUUGUUUUCAGUUUAGAGAAGUGGGCUCAGGAAUGCAGAAUAUAGGAUGGUUGUAUUUGUAAGAUUUAUGAUGUGCUGGAAUUCCUCCAUGGGCUUAUGUAAAGAGUAUGGUGUCUGUGUACUUGGAACAUCCAUCUUUUGGGAGAUUGUCCUGGCUUUCAUAAAACUAGUCAAGAAAAUAAAGAUGCCAGUGCCUUUUGGCGUUAAUAGAUAGCACUGUGGCAAAGGUUUUUUGACAUUAGAGCUUGAAACCCUAAGCACUGGGCUUGCUGCUUUUGCAGAAAAGUUGUUUCCAAGUUUACAACCUAAUUCUGAGGUUAAUAUCUUUUCUAUUCAAAUGAGUGUUAGAACAUCAGUAUUUUAAAAACAGAACAAUGGAAAAACAAAUCAAAACUACACUGAAGUAGACAGAAUUUCAACCAGAUGUCUGAUCUGUUGUCCAUUUAAUUUUUUAAUUUAUAUCUAUUUAUACUUUUUGGUGGUUUCAGUGUUUUAGAGCUAAGGAUUAAACCCAGAGGCUUUCCCAUGUAAGGCAAACCCUGAGCCGCAUUCCCAUCCUCUUUGUACCUUGCUCCCAACAUAAAGCACUAGGAUCUACAUCUGAAUCAGAGCUCUCUCAGCCGUCACUCUAUGGGAUGUUAUGUAUUUAAUUCAGUAUUUAUUAUACUGCUUGUCUGCAAAAAUCUGUUCAGAGUACUUUGGCUUCCUUUAGAAAGAUUUAAUGUAGACUGUGGGAUUGGGGACAAUAACGCUUCCCUGGAUAAAUAUAAAAUAUAUUAAUAGCAUAUAGCAACUGACUGUUAGGACAGUAAGAGUUGACUAAGCAAACUUCACUUGUAUACUUGUGUUCAGUUAUUAAAAAGGAUCUGAAAAGACUUUGUCUUAGGAAGCUUACAGUUAGGUAAAGGAGAGACCACAAGGUCCAGGGUUACAUGGCCUCUAGUGAGCUGAGUAUGAGGGUAGAAGUGUAGCUGUGGCCAAGGGAGAAACAAUUCAAUUGAAACAGACCCAAAGCACUCUAAGGAACAGGUGGGUCCACUGUUGGAUGUUGGGCUAUCGAUAGGAUGGUACUUUAAGAGAGAGCGUUCCAUCCUUCAGUAUGUGUAGGAAGAAGUAGAAGUUCCUAUAGCUCCGUCAUCAAAGACAUUUGCUAUGGAAUACUUGGCCAGAUUCUCUUCCUUGAAAGGAUUUGUAUUCUGGCAUUAUUUAUUCCUUGAACUACCAUUCAAUUUAGGAUGGUAGAGGCCUAGAAAUAGAAGAGACCUUGGGGGUCACCUUGCUAAUUGAGAGGUUAUUUUCCACCAUCCUGUGGAUCAGGAAUACUUUACAUGUGGGGCCUGCACUUUGAUUCAGUAGGUAGAGGUGCUGAAGCAUAGGCCUGCCACUCUCUGUAUCCCACAAGUUGGCAGGAAAUGGGAGAUUCCUGACAGUUGUCCUAUGGCCUCCAGGUGCAGCCAUGUUGCACAUGUGUGCAUGUGCACACACACACACGAGAGAGAGAGAGAGAGAGAGAGAGAGAGAGAGAGAGAGACAGAGAGAGAGAGAGAGAGAGAGAGAGAGAGACAGCAGAGACAGACAGCAGAGACAGACAGAGUCUGGGACUGAGAAAACCUCUCUCACCCCCUGUACUGGCUAGUUUUGUGUCAACUUGACACAGCUGGAGUUAUCACAGAGAAAGGAGCUUCAGUUGAGGAAAUGCCUCCAUGAGAUCCAACUGUAAGGCAUUUUCUCAAUUAGUGCUCAAGGGGGAAAGGUCCCCUGUGGGUGGGACCAUCUCAGGGCUGGUAGUCUUGGUUCUAUAAGAAAGCAGGCUGAGCAAGCCAGGUGAGGCAAGCCAGUAAAGAACAUCCCUCCAUGGCCUCUGCAUCAGCUCCAGCUCCCUGACCUGACCUGCUUGAGUUCCAGUCCUGACUUCCUUUGGUGAUGAACAGCAGCAUGGAAGUGUAAGCCGAAUAAACCCUUUCCUCCCCAACUUGCUUCUUGGUCAUGAUGUUUGUGCAGGAAUAGAAACACUGACUAAGACACCCCCAUACAGAGAAUCUUUCCCGGAACACUUUUCAGCUUGUGGUCUGUUUGCCUUUAUGAUCUCCCUGAAAGUUUUCAGUCACUUAUUGGGUGGAAGUCAGGCAUACAGUGUAAAGUUGGGCAUCCUCAUGGGAAGAGAAAAGUCAUGUAGAGUUACAAAAAUAACUACACAUACUUCAUCCUUGGUCAAGCUUGCUGACAGAAAUGGAUCCAUUCUCCAUAUAGCUGAUCUAUUAGACGAUUUCUAAGUAUCUCUCUAAUGGGGGUCUUUUAAGAGUUUAGCUGUGUUAUUCAAACAUGAAUUAAUGUAUUUUAGAGAACUGAUUUUCUAUUUAUCAGGCCCAAAUAAUAGAAUUUUAAAGAUGUAAAGUUUUUGGAAUAAUCAGUAUGAAUGUCCACCUCCUUGUAAGCUUUUUUUUUCAUGUACAUUCAUGUUUAAAUAUUUGAACAUGCUUAAGAUGAAGAUAAGCAUAGUCAUUCAGAUGGGGGGGCAUGAAGCUGGUUAUAGUUGCUUAUGCUUCUUGAAAUGUUAGUACUCUUGAGGGUGAAGCACAAGUAUCAAGAGUUAAAAGAUAUCCUCAGCUACGUAGCGAAUUUGAUGCUACCCAAGGCUAUAUGGUGAAUUUGUGGGUAUCUUUGACUACAUAGCAAGAUUCCCAACUGGGAAAAAAAUGAAAAAAGAAGAAAAAGGGACACUAAUAAUUAAAUGAGUUAGAAGGUAGUUAGAAGAUAUUUUGUCUACUUAACAGUUAGAAUGAAUUUAGCCAGAUGGUGGUGGUGCAUGCCUUUAAGCUAAGUACUUGAGAGGCAGAGGCUGGAGGAACUCUGAGUUCGAGGAGAGCCAGGACUACACAGAGAAACCUGAUCGCUAAAAGC
Molecule: long non-coding RNA, 3329 nt
Filed under: Mus musculus (house mouse)
Lineage: Eukaryota; Metazoa; Chordata; Mammalia; Rodentia; Muridae
Description: long non-coding RNA chr2:136897096-136900425
Source: RNAcentral